Molecule: long non-coding RNA, 1502 nt
Organism: Oenanthe melanoleuca
Lineage: Eukaryota; Metazoa; Chordata; Aves; Passeriformes; Muscicapidae
Exons: 5
Source: RefSeq, a predicted model, not a curated record
UUUUAAUUCAUAUUUUUAUUACAGGUGAUAGAUGUCUGAACUAACCCAAAGGCAUGGUGCUUGGCAAAGUUAUGGAAGAGCAUGACCUCACAGCCAGUGAAGUGGCUUGUUUUGUGAAUGAAAGCUGGAUGCCUUUAGCAGGAUGGCAUUAACACUGACCUCUGCUCAUGCAUUGAAUUCCUGCCCAGUGGGAGAGCCAAGGGAACAUUUGGAGAAUCAACUGCAUCUGUGCUCCUUUUUACACAGUCAGCAGAUUCAUAACUAUCCUCCUUCUCUUCCUUGUCACUUUGACUACCAAGUUGCUUCAGGGGUAGAUGGAGGAGCGACUGUCCUGAAAGAAGAGUGCAUAGACCAAAGUCUACAAGGACUAGUUUGAACUACUCUCACCAGCUAAGACAACACUUCUUCUCUAUAAGGUGUGGGACUCACUCUUUGGGUACUGCACUGACCAGACUAACUCUCUAUUCCUGCUACAUACCUGGGACCUAGCCACACACAGGAUGCUCCAUGCUACUAUGGGAGAGCUCAUGCUGCCUGGAAAGCAGCAGGGCUCCCAGGUGCCAGAGACUGAAAUGGUUAAUAGCUUAAGCAUUGCUAAGAUCACCAAAAGACUUUUAUCUGCUGCAGCAAACUGCAAAGAAACAGCUGCUCAUCCACCAAAGCCCACUCCUCCCUGAAGAUGCCUGCUGAUUUGGACUGCAAAAGGACCUUGAGGUAAGAUAAGGUGGUACUAUUGUCCAGCUAGCCAGGUCAAAGGACAAUGUAUCCAGAAGUGUAAGAGAUUGAAUUGCUAACAUUGGCACCUGCAGUAACCACCCAGGUGCUGCAAGAGAUGGGUGCUCAUGGCUCAAACAACGGGCUGGGUGCUUUGCUCCUGGUGCACAGAGUGGUCUCCCAGGUGCAGAAGGGCAGGCACACCUGGGGCUACAAACUGGGUUUCCAGAUAAGGCAAGAGGCUGAUAAGAGGCAGAUCCUGCUAGGUGGGACAGUCCUUCUUAUCAUUCCAGUGUCCUCCUUUACAUAGUGGCAGCUGUGAAAACCCUUCUGGGAGCACCAAGGACAUUCACACGAAGCCUGAGCUAUUCAUCUGGGGUGAUGGACCAUAAGGGGCCGUGAUUGACUCAACUAGUGUUAAGAGACAGCUGCAGAAUCUCAGAAGGUAUCAAAGACUCAUGAAAUGUACUUGAUCCAGUAUUACAUCAUCCAGGAGAGGUACCAAGAGCGUUUCCACCUAACCCCUGAACAAUAUAAACCCCACUAAAGGAGACUUUUGUGGAUUCUUUUCCCCUACCACUUACUGUGUACAGUCUGCAACCAUUGAGAAGACCAAUGGGAUGCUAUCAGAAUCUGUGGAGUGGUGAUAUAUUUUUUCUACUUAAUCUGUCUCUCUUUGUCUUUCCCUUACUUCUCUCUACCAUCCAUUUACUUUUAAAUAAAAUCCAUGCUAUUGACUUCAGCAUAUGGUUUACAUUUAAUUCAGGCAGAGUCAUCUCAUGAUUUUA